This 363-nucleotide long non-coding RNA is filed under the name Cricetulus griseus (Chinese hamster). Its description in RNAcentral is "lncRNA (ENSCGRG00015032903.1)". Lineage: Eukaryota; Metazoa; Chordata; Mammalia; Rodentia; Cricetidae. The record is from RNAcentral.
CUGGCGGGCUCCUGGCGCUGCCAGCCGGAGCGAGCUGACCUGGAUGGAGCAAAGGGCCGGAAGCUGGGAAGGGCUAGGGGACACCUUGGCCUUGGCAGAGCGGGAUGCGAGCGCCGAGAGGGUGCCAAGAGGAAGGUGUAGGGACGCCGAGACCCCCGGGAGGUGCCUGGGAAGCCCGCAGAGAGGAGCCCUCUCACCCCUCCCGAGCGUUUCAUCGGCCUACAAGAAAAAAAUCACGUUAUUCAUGCUGGUCUCAAACUUGGUAUGCAUCCAGAGAUAGCCUGGAACUCUCUUUCAGAGAUUGGGCCAAUUUAUUCUCCAGCCACGCUGAGAACCGGACAGCCCAUUCAGCCUGGGGUAGAG